RNAcentral lists this ribosomal RNA (460 nucleotides) under uncultured bacterium. RNAcentral describes it as "partial 16S ribosomal RNA". It matches the Rfam family "Bacterial small subunit ribosomal RNA", at positions 338 to 795 of the family's 1533-position model. The record is from RNAcentral.
CCUACGGGUGGCAGCAGUGAGGAAUAUUGGUCAAUGGACGAGAGUCUGAACCAGCCAAGUAGCGUGAAGGAUGACUGCCCUAUGGGUUGUAAACUUCUGUUAUAAAGGAAUAAAACGAGGAACGUGUGCCAUUUUGAAUGUACUUUAUGAAGAAGGAUCGGCGAACUCCGUGCAAGCAGCCGCGGUAAUACGGAGGAGCAGAGCGUUAUCGGGAUUUAUUGGGUUUAAAGGGAGCGUAGAUGGGUUGUAAAGUCAGUUGUGAAAGUUUGCGGCUCAACCGUAAAAUUGCAAUUGAUACUGGCAGUCUUGAGUACAGUUGAGGUAGGCGGAAUUCGUGGUGUAGCGGUGAAAUGCUUAGAUAUCACGAAGAACACCGAUUGCGAAGGCAGCUUACUAAACUGUGACUGACGUUGAUGCUCGAAAGUGUGGGUAUCAAACAGGAUUAGAUACCCUAGUAGUC